CAACAUUUAGAAAUUAAGGCAAGAAUUUUUUUCCUUAACACUAAGUAUAAUAAAAACAAAAUCAUCAGGAAGAUUCGAUUAUCUUUUCCCAUAUGUAUGGUUAUAUUACACCUUAUGUAAAAAUAUAUGCAAGAGACACUCUAUGAUCCUUUACUCAUGAUUACAAUGGAACAUAUUUCUAACAGAGAACUUUGUUAUAUGAAAAAUCACUUUAUGUUGCAAUUUAGAAGAGGUACAUUUUAAGGAGAAUACGAAAUUCCACUGAUACUUAACUUAAUAAUGGACACAAAGGAAAAACUACUAAAAGUGCCAUUUCAGGUACUGUCACAAACAAACAUUCAACUCAAAAACAACAGUAUAACUGGCUUCAGAUUUUUUAUUAUUCCACAUUUUAAAUCAACUGAUUACUGGCUACACAUUCACAAUCAAAUUUCAGUUUCUUUUCAUCACCUUCAAAGCUCUGCCUACCUCUGUACCCUCCUUACUUACAAUGCCUUGUCAAGCCUCAGGCUGCCCUCCACCUGCCUCCAACUUUGUCCCACUGUUUUACAGCUUCUCUUACAAUUAUUUCCAUGCCUCCUUCCACACAGUAUGGUACUACAUCCCAUAGCUUAUCUGCAUGGUCCCUGCCCUGUCCACAUUUGAAAGCUUACUUUUACAGUGUGGCUUGCCACGAAUUGAGCUGACUAGUAUAUAAAUUGCCUACUACUGGUUCCUCUGCCUCUAACCUCUAUUUCUCAGCUUGUAUUUACAAUGUGAACUCCUGAGAGCACAGAGCAUCCCAGCCAGUUUGGAAAGCACUCAGUGGGUGUAACAAUCUGUAUGAGAGGGUUACUCACUUUGUGCAGUAAAUGAGGUUCUUUGAGAUGUGUCCCCCUGUGGGUGCUUCACUUCAAGUAUUAGAGAUUUACAGUGGCAGUAUCUGUACAGGUCAUGCGUGCACAGCAGAUGUCUCACGGUGCCGUUGCUGCCUCAUCUAGCGUGCGCGCAGCCCGAUCCCUCCAGUUCCUUCUCUACUGUGAAGUCCUUACUGCCAACUCCAAAGUAGAGGGGACGAGGGUGGGCAGUGGAGCAGCCACAGGGGAACACAUCUCGAAGAAACUCAGUUACUGCACAAGGUGAGUAACCCUCUCUUCUUUUUUGAGAGAUGUCCCUGUGGGUGCUCCACUUCAGGUGACUGUAGAGCAAUGUCCCUCAGAGGUUAGGAAGGACUUUAGGUUCGCUUGUAUUGUAGAGGCAAGUACAGUUAGGCCAGUUAUGGCAUCAGGCCUCAAAUGAUUGCAUAAUGAUCAGUAAACAUAUGGACAGAGGCUCAGGUAGUUGCUCUACAUGUGUCUCUUACAGGUACAUUGUUUAGAAAUGCUAUUGAGGUCAAUACAGAGCAUGUGGAAUGGGAUCUGAUGUUCUCAGGAGGUUCUGUAUUGUGUGUUUGGGUAACAUUGUUGAAUACAGGUGGAGAUCCAUUUAGAUAGUCUGAGUGGAUAUAGCACUGCCUUUUGAACGUUCGGUCAUGGACACAGUCUCAGGGACUUUCAGAAAGGCUUGGUUCUAUCUAACUAGAACAUGAACACAUGUCUAACACCUAAUAUAUGCACAAUGGUUUCAUUUGGAUUCCCGUGUGGUUUAUGGUAAAACAUGGGAAGGUGAAUUGGUUGGUUUAUAUGAAAGGGUGAUGAUAUUUUCAGUAGGAACUUUGGGUGGGGUCGUAACGUGACCUUGUCCUUUACAAAUAUUGUGUAGGGAGGAUCAGUCAAAAGGGCCCCUAUCUCACUUAUUCGUCUGGCAUAAGCAAUAGGUGACUAAAGGUUCAAAUGGCGGUCUGGUGAUGGAUUUCAAUACCAGGUUUAGAUCCCAUGCCAGAGUGGGUUGGCGAACCUCUGGGUAAAUGUUCUGUAGAGUGGUGAGGAAGGGUUUAGUAAUUGGAUGCACGAAUAUCAAGGUCCCUUUGAUCCCAUGACUGAAUGCUGUAAUGGCUGCGAGAUUCACUUUGAUCGAGUUUGUUGCAAGACCCGAACGUUUUAACUCCAAUGUGUAGUCCAGCACUAGUGGUGCUGUAGUGGCAGUCAACUGUUUUUCUUGACACCAUGAGGAGAAUCUUUUCCAUUUCUGAGGGUAAGUUUUAUGCAUGGUUGAUUUCCUGUUGUUUAGUAAUACGUGUUUGACUUGUUCCAAACAGGCUAACUCACCAUAAUGGAACCAUGCAGAAGCCACGCUUUCAGGUAGAAGUUUCUCCAGAUUUGGGUGAAGAGUGCAACUAUUGUUCCAUGACAGAAGGUCCGUCCGAAGAGGGAGAACUCGUGGGGCGCAUAUCGCCAUGUGUAUCGGAACUGUGAACACUGCCACAGAGCUCCAUCUCAGGCUGAGGACGGUUGACAAGGAACUGAAGGGAUCGGGUCGUGCGCAUGCUAGAUGAGAUGCACGGCACUGCAAGACAUCUACUGCAUAAGUUGGGACACUGCUAUCUUAAAUCUCUGAUUGAUGGUUCCAGGAUGCACCGACACCACAAAGACAUCACCCGAAGAACCACUCUAUGUUCACCAUUUUUACAAAACUAUAAUGGAUUUUAUACAAAGUAUGCCUUAUGAAGUAUCAUUUGAAAAUUCAAUUUGCUGAUCAUUAUUGUCCUGGUAAAAUGUGUGGGGCAACAUUGUACACAAAGUUAUAAGAUGCUACUGAGACAUAUUCCAAGUUUAAAAAGCAGGUACAAACCAGUUCCUCAAAAACAAAAAGCAAACUGAUGCCUCAGCCAGGUGUCCACAAGAUCAAAUGGACUAUCACCUGGUUAAGCAGCCAUUCUUUGGCAGGAAAAAGGGUAAGAGCGAGAAAUUUACAAGGUGGCAAAGAAACAGUUGGAAGUUCCCCUCCCACAGACUGCCUCCUGAAUCCCAGCCGGAGAUGAUUUUCAAAGAGGAAGAAAAGAUAAAAUGGGGAACAGAUGCCCCAAAUCAUCUCUCCAUUUCUACUCACGGCAUCAACAACACUUGAAGAAUAAAGGAAGCAUCAUCGGACUUGGGAGGGAUCCUGGCUGAAAGAUUCAACCAGUAAAACUGGUAGAACAUAUAGUGAGAGAGACCCUUAUGCUUUGAAUUCACUUAGCCUGUUAAGUUAGGUAUCAGUUGCGUUUUACCUUUUAUUUACUUGUAACCAAUUAUGACUUUUAUGCCUCAUUAUUUGUAGUCACUUAAAACCUAUCUUUCUGUUGUUAAUAAACUUGUUUUAUUGUUUUAUUUAAA
This is a long non-coding RNA of Chelonia mydas (Green sea turtle), 3233 nucleotides long. RefSeq lists it as uncharacterized. Lineage: Eukaryota; Metazoa; Chordata; Testudines; Cheloniidae. The record is from RefSeq and is a predicted model, not a curated record. The transcript is spliced from 2 exons.